UUUCCGUAGGUGAACCUGCGGAAGGAUCAUUACAGUAUUACCAAAGUUCGAGGCCUGUUGAUCUGCCUACACCGUUUCUUCGGCGGUUUGCCCCGGCGCAACUCCGUCUCGCCCCUGCCCGGCCCACUGGGCUCGGCCGCCCCGGGCUUGUCCGGAGGCGGGCAUUCGUUUUCACCCUACCUUUGUAGGCUAUGCAGAAUGUUAAAAUUUUCAACGCCGGAUCUCUUGGCUCUGGCAUCGCUAAAGAAGGCAGCAGAUCUGAAGCACCGACGUCUGAAC
RNAcentral lists this unclassified non-coding RNA (279 nucleotides) under plant metagenome. RNAcentral's name for it is "partial contains small subunit ribosomal RNA, internal transcribed spacer 1, and 5.8S ribosomal RNA". The record is from RNAcentral.